RNAcentral lists this Y RNA (104 nucleotides) under Saimiri boliviensis boliviensis (Bolivian squirrel monkey). RNAcentral's name for it is "Y RNA (ENSSBOG00000003585.1)". It matches the Rfam family "Y RNA". Rfam says of the family: Y RNAs are components of the Ro ribonucleoprotein particle (Ro RNP), in association with Ro60 and La proteins. The record is from Rfam by way of RNAcentral. Lineage: Eukaryota; Metazoa; Chordata; Mammalia; Primates; Cebidae.
GGCUGGUCUGAGUGCAGUGGGUGUACAAGGAAUUGGUGACAGCCUCUCACAGGUUUCUUUGCUCCUUUUCCAUUUCCACUGCUGCUUCACUCCACUAGCCUUUA